GACAGGGCCUUGCUCUGUUGCCCAGGCUGGAGUGCAGUAGCAUGAUAGUUACAGGAAAGGGGUCCCAAUCUAGACCCCAAGAGAGGGUUCUUGGAUCUUGUGCAAGAAAGAAUUCAGGGUGAUGCCACAGUGUGAAGUGAAAGCAAGUUUAUUAAGAAAGUAAAGGAGGAGGGGCACCGUGGCUCACUCCUGUAAUCGCAGCACUUUGGGAGGCCGAGACAGGUGGAUCACGAGGUCAGGAGAUCAAGACCAUCCUGGUUAACACGGUGAAACCUCAUCUCUACUAAAAAUACAAAAAAAUUAGCCAAGUGUGGUGGCCGGUGCCUGUAGUCCCACCUACUCUGGAGGCUGAGGCAGGAGAAUGGGAUGAACCCGGGAGGCGAAGCUUGCAGUAAGCCGAGAUCGCGCCACUGCACUCCAGCCUGGGUGACAGAGGGAGACUCCAUCUCAAAAAAAAAGAGAGAAAGUAAAGGAAUAAAAGAAUGGCUACCCCAUAGACGGAGCAGCCGUGAGGGCUGCUGGUUGCCCAUUUUUAUGGUUAUUUCUUGAUGAUAUGCUAAACAAGGAGUGGAUUUUUCAUGCCUCCUCUUUUUAGACCAUAUAGGGUAACUUCUUGAUGUUGCCGUGGCAUUUGUAAACUGUCAUGGUGCUGGUAGGAGUGUAGCAGGGAGGAUGAUGGGAGGUCAGUCUUGUCUCUAUUUUGGUUUUGGUGGGUUUUGGCCAGCUCCUUCACUGCAACCUGUUUUAUCAGCAAGGUCUUUAUGACUGGUAUUUUGUGCUGACCUUCUAUGUCAUCCUGUGACUUAGAAUGCCUUAACCAUCAGGGAAUGCAGCCCAGUAGUUUCAGCCUCAUUUUUCCUGGCUCCUAUUUAAGAUGGAGUUGCUCUGGUUCACACACCUCUGACAUGAUCAUUGCCCACUGCGGCUUCCACCUCCCGGGUUCAAGAGAUCCUCCUGCCUCACCCUCCCAAGGUGCUGGGACUACAGGUGUGUGCCACCACGCUCAGCUAAUUUUUGUAUUUUUUGUAGAGAUGGUGUUUUUCCAUGUUGCCCAGGCUGGUCUCAAACUCCUGGGCUCAAGCAAUCCUUCUGUCUCAGCCUCCCAAAGUACUGGGAUUACAGGCAUGUCCCACCAUGCCCAGACUAAUAUUUACUUUUAAUCAGACUAAGAUAGGGUUACUACUUGAGUUGCUAUGGCUCCAGCUGAAAGAAAGCCCGUGCAGUCAUAUCACGCGUAAACAUUUGCUUUAUGCUAAAAAUAUGGUGGACCUGGCAUUACAGCUAUUACAAAUCUCCUAAGAUGUCUCGGGUAGUGUAUUAGUUACUUUUCAUACUGCUAUGAAGAAAUACUGGAAACUGGGUAAUUUAUAAAGAAAAAGAGGUUUAAUGUACUCACAGUUCCACAAGGCUGGAGAGGCCUCAGAAUCAUGGUGGAAGGCAAGGAGCAAAAAGGUAUGUCUUCCAUGGCAGCAGGCAAGAGAGCACGUGCAGGGAAACUGCCCUUUAUAAAACCAUCAGAUUUAGUGAGAUGUAUUCACUAUCACGAGAACAGUAUGGGAAAAACCUGCCCCCAUGAUUCGAUUACCUCCUACCGGGUCCCUCCCACGACACAUGGGGAUUAUGGGAACUACAAUUCAAGAUGAAAUUUGGGUGGGGACGCAGCCAAACCAUAUCGGGUAGCAACAACCUAGGGUCAGUUUUGCAGGUGGUAAAGCCAUUUACCAAGAUAGUUGUAGGUAAAGAAGGGCAGAUUUAUUAGAGAAAUUGUGAAAAUAUGUUGCAGUGGGCAGCUCAGCAGAGAAGGGGCUACCUGCAAAGAGGCAAGGGCUGGAGGAAAGUUUUAUAGGGUCCUGCUGAAGGGUGCUACGUGUGGAAUGAGGUCAUUGUGCCCGCAGGUUGUUUGUGAUUAGCUGUUUCUAACAAUUGUUCAUACAAUCAUUGUUCAUUAUUGUUCUCAACUUGGGGCUCUCCCCAACCUGGGGACCCUUCCUUAUUGUUGCUUACUUAUCAGGUCUCCACAUAAAGGUGUGGAAACUUCAUUCAUUCAUAUCUUCAACACAAAUUGUAGGUAGCCUGUUUUUUAAAACAUUUAUUCAACAAAUAUUUAGUCCAAGCCACUAUUACUUAUUACCUUCUCUACUAUUGUAUGGACUUUUAACUAUCUCUGACACUAUUCACUAUUCUUCCACAUUCUCUAUUAUUUAUACCUAUGGUAAAAUUUGCCAGUUUGACCAUACAACUAAUACUCACAGGGAAUAUAUAGAGUCUAGAAGAAAAUAUACAGGUCCUUAAAGGCUGCCCUGCCAACAAAACCAUAACGCAGGAACAAACAUCACAACUAUGCCAAAUAAUCAAUCCUACAAUGUCCAAAAUUUUACUUUAAAACUGGAAUUUCCAGACUUCCUUUCUGCAUUAACCAGUUUAACUAGACAGUAACGAAAUAUUCCUACUUUAUGCUGUGAUAGUUUGUUUAUUUAUUUAUUUAUUUAUUUAUUUGAGACAGAGUUUCGCUCUUGUUGCCCAGGCUGGAGUGCAGUGGCACGAUCUCAGCUCACCACAACCUCCGCCUCCCAGGUUCAAGCGAUUCUCCUGCCUCAGCCUCCCGAGUAGCUGGGAUUACAGGCAUGUACCACCACGCCCGGGUAAUUUUGUAUUUUUAGUAGAGACGGGGGGUUUCUCCAUGUUGGUCAGGCUGGUCUAGAACUCCAGACCUCAGGUGAUACCCCUGCCUCAGCCUCCCAAUGUGCUGGGAUUACAGCUGUGAAGCCACCGCGCCCGGCUGCUGUGAUAGUUGAGAUGUAAACCAAAAAUAAAAUUCUAAGCCACCCAAUCCGACUGAAUGGACCCUUCCUGUUGAGCAAGGACAUUCCAAAGUAAACUGAAAAGACCAGCUUAGGCCAUGAUGGGAAGGGGAGGUGUCAACAUGCCUCAUUCUACCUUCCUCCCUCUGGAAUCCAGACACAACUGACCAGCAUUAACAUUAAAACAGAGAUCUUAAGCUGGGCACAGUGGCUCAUGCCUGUAAUCCCAGCACUUUGGGAGGCCAAGGUGGGAUCACCUGAGGUCAGAAGUUCAAGACCAGCCUGGCCAGUAUGGUGAAGCCAUGUCUCUACUAAAAAUACAAAAUUAGCCGGACAUUGUGGUGCACGUCUGUCAUCCCAGCAAGGCAGGCGAAUCACUUGAACCCAGGAAGCAGAGGUUGCAGUGAGCCAGGAUCAUGCCAUUGCACUCCAGCCUGGUCAACGGAGCGAGACUCCGC
RNAcentral lists this long non-coding RNA (3259 nucleotides) under Homo sapiens (human). The record is from RNAcentral. Lineage: Eukaryota; Metazoa; Chordata; Mammalia; Primates; Hominidae.